This is a long non-coding RNA of Orbicella faveolata, 3265 nucleotides long. The record is from RefSeq and is a predicted model, not a curated record. NCBI's taxonomy places the organism in Eukaryota, Metazoa, Cnidaria, Anthozoa, Scleractinia, Merulinidae.
CCACGAUGAAUAACAACAACCUUUUCCUCAACAUAUUCCUAAGUUGUAAGGAAGAAAAAAACACUGGGUUUGGGAUUUCAAAACCAUUUGACAGUCAUUAUGUUGCCGUUUCAUUGUGAGUGAAAAUAUGUGGUUGUUGUCGAACAGGGCCUGAAGCAGGAGAAACAUGUAAACCAUGAGGAACUUUAUUUUGUUGCCUGUGCAAUUAUACAUUACCCAUCCAAGGAAAGUGUCACAGAAGCAAUUCACCUUCCACCAGAACAAAAUGGCAUACAUUUAAUUUAACAGGAGUCUUUAAAUUAAAUUAUUUUUUUAUUUUUUUUGCAGGUCGAUGAUGGUUACGACAGUGACAUUUAUUUAAACAAAUUUAUGGUUUAUUACAUAACAAGUACCUUGGGUGAAACAGCACGUAUUUUGGUAAGAAAUGGAGAUAUUUAUGAAGGUGUUCUAAAAGCAGUCUCCUCAAAGGUAAGAAAUGACUCCCAUUGCUGACUUUAUUUAACAAGUGAACCAGUUUACAAACAGAUCAACUGACAUGUAAUUUCAUUUAGUUAGACAUGACCAGUUUCUUUUGUUGAGUUAUUUUUUUUGUUAAAAAAAUAUCUCUUAGUCAACAGGUCUGGGCUAUGUUAGUAGCAGUUCAGUGAGUGAGUGAGUGAGUAAAUGAAUGAGCGAGCGAGCGAGAGAUGUAUGUAUGUCACAGCAAUCAGAUUGUGUGUGAAGAUUUCAUUCUGAUUUUAGAAUGGCCAUCUUAGUUUUUCUACAAACAGAAACAGGUAUUCUUGUAUUGGCCUUAUUCUGACAUUGUUGAUGCUGUGUUUACUAUAGUUAAGCUCAGUAUGUUGUCGAUGGGUUUCAAAAGAGUUCAGAAUUCGAUAAAUCAGCCAAGGAAUCACAGUCUUUGGUAUACACUAACAUGUCAUCGAGGCUUUGGUUGCGUUAAGUGAAAUUUCGAAUGAAAUGCUGUUCGACAACUUGGUGAUUUCUAGGACAAGAAUGAUUGUUUUCAGUGCAAAAUGCACUAUUUUGUCUCUGGUGGUAUUCGCCAGGUUCCCAUCAAUAUAAUUUGCAUUACGUGAAGUUCAUGAAAAAAAAAUUAAGUUUAAAUCAUUUAUGUUUGUGCAAAAUGUUUCAGUUCCUGAAUGCAAGUCUCAAUUAAGUAGCGCUGUUCACAGAGUAAUACUGUCUUCUCGUUGAAAUGUUUCUUGGAAUCGAUACUGAGAUACUCAUUUGAAGUGGUUUUCUCUAUCAAAACCAUAGAAAUUUCGGAUGGCUAGUUAUGAAUGAGAACUCUGCUAAGUUUCGAAAUUUUUUUUGUUGUUGCAGGUAAAUGUAACAAGAUAUUUUUAUUUUUUAUUUGUUUUAAUGCACGAUUGGUUGCAAUUAAAAACUGACAAAUCAGUGACUCCUGUUCACGCGGUGAUAAUAAACAAACAAGAAGCCAAUUUAGCGGCAUGUCCAGAAUCUUUAACUUGCUCUAAAUGUUUGGACAUCUCUUUUUGUUAGUGUCUUCAGCAGCAUUUGAAUAUCUUGCAUUAAUUGCAGUUCUUUAAAACAGGAAUUUUUAACAGAGAUUUGUGGCAGGUGAACUCUUCAAAUAUUCCUGAAGUAGAAAAUUCAAUUACACCAUGUUGUAUAUGUGCUAUUACAUAUACACCAGCAAACUUCACAAUAGAUCAAUUACUCUGUCUGAUUUCUUCAAAAACUUAAACACAAAAUAUAACAUAGGAAAACUCACACAAAGGGUUGGGUGGGGACUGGGCUCUGAAAUAUUCAUCAGCAAUGGUGGACAGCAAAAAAGCAACUGACAAACAACACUGAGCAUGUGACUCAAAAAACAAGCCCUUGGGCCCAGGCCCCAGCAGUGUGUGAGAAAACAUUUUCCACUUAUUUCAUUCCUCAGCCAGUGGAAAAUACAAUGUAUUACGAAAAUUAACGCCAUUUGAAAUUCUGAGCAGUGCAGUUCUGAGUUGAAGUGUUUGAGAAGAAAGGGGGUGAAUAUUUUUGCUUUAGGCGGUUUAUUAGUGUCACUAAAUUCGAGAUUAGUGUCAUUACUGUCCCUUCAAGACACACUGGUUCUGAGUUGAAGUCUUCCCGAAGAGAGAGGUCACUUGAGACAUUUUGCUUUCACGCUGUUUCACAGAAGGAGUUGAGAAGAGGGUAUUGUGGUAUGAGAAGGCCUGUGAAUCUGCCUGUUAACCAGCUUUUGCAGCUCCGGGUCAUUAACUGGCAACUGACAACAAAUAAUGUUAUCAAUAAACUCUGUAACAAUAGCAUCAUCAUCAACUCCAAAUACUGGUACAUUUUCUAACUACAUAAGCAUGUGAAUGUGAGGUGAACUUGGUAUUCCUCUCUGUAGAACCAGUCAGAAGUGUUUCCUAAUGCUAGUGCUUCACCAUUUUUUCUGACAUACCUGUUUCCAUAUGUAUGUUAGUUUAUUUUGGGACAUAUUCAUGCUAUGGCACCCAGGAAAAAUUAGGGAGGGUGAGGGAAAAUAACAAUGAAAUAAAGAGACAUGAAAGGAUAAAAGUGCAGAAAGAAACACCUGAUACUCCACUUUGCAUAAGAAACUAUCCUGGCAUACAGCGAAAUGUGCAAAAGUUUGCUCCAAAGUUUAAUUGAAAUUUUGCGGCCUGUUGAGUGAUAAUUUGCUAGAACAAAAGACGACAUUUCUUCAAAUUUUUUGAUAAGUUAACGAAAAAUUGCGAGCACUAACGAUAAUUCACCAGCUUAUACACAAAAUUUUGCAAGGCACUAAAUGGCAGUUCGCCAGCAUGCGUGCAAUUUUCAUGUAACUUACACAAGAUAAAUUUGGAUUCAUGUAUUUGUUUGUAAAUUCGUGCCAGAGAACACGGUAUGCAGUCAUUGAUUGCUGUAUAAGAGGAUAACGUACAGUGUUAUCUAUGACGUAUGUUACUUGAAUCUCACAUGCCAAAAAUUUGCGAAAGUUUUUCAAGCAGGUUUGUUUUCUUGAAUUCAGUUAGAAUUUGCUUAAUUACUAUUAUGAAGACAGCGAGCUCAGUUCGUUCCACAAACAAAACAGAAACAUCUCCAGUUCUGGGUAUUAAGCUGCUAAAGCAAACAGCCACAAACAACUUGUUGUCGAGAAUAUGAUUACGUAAUAAGCGUGCGACGCUGUUAAUAUUUACUUAAAACUGACAAGAGACAAAAGAAGAGAUCUUUUUUUGUACACGUGGGAUUGAGUUGAACGAGCGAGUAAUGAAAAGUGUAUAUCGAGAGUGAUUAGUGUUGAGCUUGAUGUAAG